This 588-nucleotide ribosomal RNA is filed under the name Meyerozyma guilliermondii. Its description in RNAcentral is "eukaryotic LSU rRNA". It matches the Rfam family "Eukaryotic large subunit ribosomal RNA", at positions 66 to 669 of the family's 3401-position model. The record is from RNAcentral. Lineage: Eukaryota; Fungi; Ascomycota; Pichiomycetes; Serinales; Debaryomycetaceae.
CCCGGGGCAUUGCCUUACUAGCGGCGAGUGAAGCGGCAAAAGCUCAAAUUUGAAAUCUGGCGCCUUCGGUGUCCGAGUUGUAAUUUGAAGAUUGUAACCUUGGGGUUGGCUCUUGUCUAUGUUUCUUGGAACAGGACGUCACAGAGGGUGAGAAUCCCGUGCGAUGAGAUGCCCAAUUCUAUGUAAGGUGCUUUCGAAGAGUCGAGUUGUUUGGGAAUGCAGCUCUAAGUGGGUGGUAAAUUCCAUCUAAAGCUAAAUAUUGGCGAGAGACCGAUAGCGAACAAGUACAGUGAUGGAAAGAUGAAAAGAACUUUGAAAAGAGAGUGAAAAAGUACGUGAAAUUGUUGAAAGGGAAGGGUUUGAGAUCAGACUCGAUAUUUUGUGAGCCUUGCCUUCGUGGCGGGGUGACCCGCAGCUUAUCGGGCCAGCAUCGGUUUGGGCGGUAGGAUAAUGGCGUAGGAAUGUGACUUUACUUCGGUGAAGUGUUAUAGCCUGCGUUGAUGCUGCCUGCCUAGACCGAGGACUGCGAUUUUAUCAAGGAUGCUGGCAUAAUGAUCCCAAACCGCCCGUCUUGAAACAACGGAACCA